Molecule: long non-coding RNA, 2563 nt
Organism: Cucumis melo (muskmelon)
Lineage: Eukaryota; Viridiplantae; Streptophyta; Magnoliopsida; Cucurbitales; Cucurbitaceae
Exons: 6
Source: RefSeq, a predicted model, not a curated record
UUACCUUCAUUAUCCGUAACUUCUUUACUCACUCAUCACCUUCCUUCAUGUUUAUCCAAUUUCUAAUUUCAAUAUCUACAGAUUAGUAUGUUUGUUACUACAAUUUGUCUUCUUAAUUAAUGUACUAAACCUAGUUUUGAAACACAAGGCAUGUCCAGGGUUAUGUGAUGAACUGGGCAAGGUAGUUAAGAAAACUCAUGGAUUAAAUGUUAAGCCUCUUACUGAUUUUGCUAUUUGUUGUUGUCAAACUGAGGCAUUUACUGCUGCUGUAUUUUCUGGUACAUUUCUUCAUUUUCUUAUUCAAUUCCAUUGUCUUUAAAUAUUAAAUAGUUUUAUAAUUUUAAUAUCUUCUGAUUUGAAAAUUCAUAGUGAUAAACCCGGUGAUGAAGUUAUAAUUAAGCCUUUCUUACCAACAAAAUAUUCUUGGGUAGAUCAACGUGUUCUUUUUAUUAUUGUGGAAGGAGUCUAUUUGGCAUGGGGAUAUUUUUCGACAAAUGUGAAUUCAGUGCUAAAAACAUGUAUAAGAAUGCAUAUACAUGGGUGCUCUUAUAACAUUUUGAUUCAGAGUUACAGAACUGGGUUGGUUGCUCGACCUUGGUGUCUGAUGAAGAUCUGCUUGAAACAAGACAUAGUAAAUAUAGUUGGUGAUGCAAGUUCUAAGACUACUAAAAUAGGUAAUCCCGGUGGCUUCAGUGUUGACUCCUAAUCAAUUUGAAGCUGAACAAUUGACAGGGUUAAGGAUCCAAUCUGAAGGAGAUGGUAGGGAAGCUUGUAACAUUCUUCAUGCUGCAGGACCUUCAAAGGUUGUGUUUACGAGUAUAAAUAUGAAUGGUGAAGUCCUUCUCAUUGGCAGUUAUCAGAAGAACGAGGUGACUUUUGCAUUAAGUUCUUAGUUUGUCUAAAAAAGGGCCUGUAUUUGGUGCUCUUUUUUAGUCUUUCUAAACUCCAAGCAAAUUGUUUACGCGUAUGAGGUUAGAAUAGCAAAUAGACUUAUCACUGUCUGAUUAUUACUGAAUAAGCUGAUGAACCAAGUGUACGCUACGUUCCUAGGUAACUUGUGCUUUUAUGCCGCUAUGCUACACAUUAUUCCAAUCCUCCAUUACUAGACAUGGAAAAAGUUGAGACUGAAAGAACAAUUUUCACUAAAUAAGUUUAUUUAGGUUAAAAUUUGCUUCCUGUGCUUUGAGUUCCAUUGCUUCUCGAAACAAGUUAAACAACAAUCUAAAAUGCAUUUACAACUUCCCUCUGUAAUAAGCAAAAUUUAUGAUUUCUUUCUUUCUUUCUUUUUCUUUUAAUUCUUUUUUUAUUAUAGAGGUUACAAAUUCUUUUCAACUAAGAUACAGUUGACAAGACUUAAGAUUGAAGUUGAGCUAGGAUAACUGAUAUUUGAAAGAACAAUACUUUAUUUCCAUCCAUCGGACGUACAUUAUUGGCAUGUGGAUGGUUCAGGAAUUCAUGUCCCUAAACUGAAAAUUCAUGGAUCAACUCAAAAGAGAAUGUCCUGUUGUAUGGCUAAGAAAAAACCUACAAGAGGGAAGGAACCUUUACUGAAACUGUGUAUUUUGAUCUUAGAAAAGUUGUAACACUUGAUGAUUGCAGGCCCAAAAAUGAUCCAUCACAGUAGGCCCAGUCUUUCUUCUUCAAGCUGCACGAACCCUAUUUUACUCUUCUAGACCUUCAUACACCUUUGACUCAAAAGAUUUGUUGAGGAUUGAUUAUUCGUAUUUGGAGAUGUCUUUUUCAGUCUUUUAUGAUGAUUGGAUAAAACCCAAAAAGUCCCACAAAAUUUUUGAAUCUUUAACUAAAAAAUUAAAGUAUAUAUGUGUGUAUAUAUAUCUCAUAUUUUUCGCUACUUCAAUGAAGAUUAGAGUGGAGCUGACUUGGGUUCAGAAUAUGGAUCUGGAUAUGAUUACGGUUAAAUAUGAUUUGGAAGAUUUAGAAGCUGUUUUUGUAUCUUAUAUGAUUGGUUGAAUAUGAUUUGUAAUUUUAUUUGAAGACUUUGGUGCGUAUGUUUCUUUGGAUUGUCUUAUAUGAUUUGAUGAAUGAGGUUAUGAGUGUCAUUGUUUGGAUCGACACAAACUAGAACUGAGUUGCCCAUGAUGUCAUGGUAUGCAAAAAAUUUAGGAUUUAAUCCUUAUGGUUUUAAUAGAACUUCGAUUGUCUUUGUAGUUUGAUAAACAGAAUAUAUUGUUUUGGAAUAAUAGUAGUUACGUAGAGGAGGCCAACACCAGAAAUGACAUGUAUUGAAGAAGCUUUGGGAAGUAUAGUUGCAUGUCCAUUUGAUAAAGUGAUCAUUGGUGAAUGACAUGUAGUCGUCUUAACCAGAGGACUAAAGAACCAACGAUGACAGUUAGCUCAUAUAAUCUUGUACACUUAUGAUGAAUUUUGUUUGUGUUUUGAGGGUUUAAUUUGUGUGGUUGGUACAUUUACUAAUUUGUGUAUCUUAAGGGUUAAUUUGUGUGAUUGGUACAUUGAGACCGCAACAUUCAUUAAGUAAAUUAUUAACUACUUUAUUUUGUAAUUUUAAUACAUUAUGAAUGAAAUUUAUUAGUAUUCAUUGUGC